CGGGUAGAGUAACACGUGAGUAACCUGCCCCGAAGACUGGGAUAACGACCGGAAACGGUCGCUAAUACCGGAUACCCCCAUUGGAUCGCAUGGUCCGAUGAGGAAAUGAAUUUCGCUUCGGGAGGGGCUCGCGGGCUAUCAGCUUGUUGGUGGGGUAAUGGCCUACCAAGUCGAUGAUCCGUAGCUAGUCUGAGAGGACGAUUAGCCACACUGGCACUGACACACGGGCCAG
Molecule: ribosomal RNA, 232 nt
Filed under: uncultured bacterium
Lineage: Bacteria
Description: partial 16S ribosomal RNA
Rfam family: Bacterial small subunit ribosomal RNA
Source: RNAcentral